This is a long non-coding RNA of Xenia sp. Carnegie-2017, 383 nucleotides long. RefSeq lists it as uncharacterized. NCBI's taxonomy places the organism in Eukaryota, Metazoa, Cnidaria, Anthozoa, Malacalcyonacea, Xeniidae. The transcript has 2 exons. The record is from RefSeq and is a predicted model, not a curated record.
ACAAAUUGUUCAAGUUUAACCAUGUCGAGUGUAGUGAGGUGGAUAAACAACUCAAUCAACAACACAAAUGAAACAAUGAGUGUCGGAUAAUUAAAUCAUUAAUUACUCCAUACUGCAGGAAUUUUCACACGAAGGAGAAUAAAAACAGACUUUAAUAAAUAAUUUUGGCGAAUAUUUUUUGUGACAUGGAGGUCAGUUUCAUCAGCAAUACAUUAGAAUCUUAUAUUUUUUUGCUAGAUUAUUCUGUGAACCAUAAAAUUAUAAUCAAAUAAUCGUUUUGUUCUACAUUAUUGACCGUUGUAUCUAGUCAAGCGUGCUUUGUUGUCUCGUUGUUAUGGUUGAAUGUAAACAGAAAACUUAAAUUACAGUGCCAAAAUUAAAAU